GUAGGGAAUAGAAGCAGUGGUGCAAUGUGUGUGAAAGGUUCAGUGUGUGUGUGGGGGUGUAGUGUGUGAAUGUGUAGGGUGUGUGGGCAGUGUAUGUGUGUGGCAAUGUUAGUAUGGGGGCUGUGUAUGGGGGUCUGUGUGUAUAUGGGUGGGCAGUGUAUGUGUGUGUGUGAGGCAAUGUGUGUAAAUGUGUAUGGUGUGUAUGGGGGCAGUGUGUGAAUG
Pelobates cultripes (western spadefoot toad) is the source of this 222-nucleotide non-coding RNA. NCBI's taxonomy places the organism in Eukaryota, Metazoa, Chordata, Amphibia, Anura, Pelobatidae. The record is from the annotation of a GenBank genome assembly.